RNAcentral lists this long non-coding RNA (624 nucleotides) under Setaria viridis. RNAcentral's name for it is "long non-coding RNA (SVIR_LNC006401)". Lineage: Eukaryota; Viridiplantae; Streptophyta; Magnoliopsida; Poales; Poaceae. The record is from RNAcentral.
AAAAUUACAACCGAACCGUUCAUAUUCUUCACAACCAGAAACUAAACUCAGGUCCCAUAUUAGCAACUUCGUUACAUGAAGGUAGCAAGCAGGUAGGAAAAGCAAAAGGCAACUCAUGUCCCAACUUAGCAUGAAUCCUGGCGUCCGGAGGCACACCAUUUCACAUUUUAUUCUCUGCAUAGACAAGCAGCGGGGCCGUUCCACGACCGCAAAGGCCUAGGGAAGGAACCAUGGAGCGGAGAUGACGCUCUACUGGGUCUUGAACAUGUGGCGGAUCAGGUCGACAACACGGUUGCUGUAGCCCCACUCGUUGUCGUACCAGGAGACAAGCUUGACGAAGUUGUCGUUCAGAGCAAUUCCAGCCUUGGCGUCGAAGAUGCUCGACCUAAGUGGAAACAAUGAAACAGGAAAAAAAAUGAAUAACACAGCACAGGAACAAAACAACAUUCACUAGAAUUCAUCGUAGCACUAUCGUGGUGUGCCCUAGAAUAUCCACUGGUUCCUAGAACUUGGAGGACCCAAAGCAAAUUUCGUGUACCUGCUGUCACCAGUGAAGUCAGUGGAAACCAAAUCCUCAUCCGUGUAACCCAUGAUACCCUUGAGUGGCCCCUCAGACGCAGCCCU